Long non-coding RNA from Folsomia candida, 831 nucleotides. RefSeq lists it as uncharacterized. The transcript is spliced from 2 exons. The record is from RefSeq and is a predicted model, not a curated record. Lineage: Eukaryota; Metazoa; Arthropoda; Collembola; Entomobryomorpha; Isotomidae.
AAGCCUUAUCAACAAUUUUAAAGAUGGAUUUUUGCACUUGGACAAUUAAACGUUGUAGGUUUCAUGCGUACGUUUGCUGUAUAUCGUCAAAUGGCAAAAAAAACAUGCUUACUUUAUGUAAAUACGUUGCGGUGAAUCGAUCAUGUAGAGACAAAUGGAUAAAACUGUGACAUGGAGUUGCAUCAUUAUUGCAGCCGAAUUAUUGUGCGUAUACAAUUCGAGUACAAUUGUUCUCGUAUCAACUUGAGACUGAUUUUUAUGCAGCCACUAAACAGUCAAAAGCUGUGAUCACAACGGGAAACAAACUUUCAUCUAGUAACCGCAUAACUUUCAUUUAUAAAUGAAAGGUCAAAUUUCGAAAUUUGAACAAUAUUCAAAAACCUUUGGCUUGACUGAUAGCCGAUUUGAUAGUGCGACCGUUGAGGUCACAGUGCUCAAAUCAUGAUCUUCAUUUUUAAACUGAUUUUUACAAUCAAAAUUGAUUAGAAAUGAAGAUUUGUGCACUACUAGCACAAUUUCCUCAUUGGGGUUUGUGUAUAUGAUUUUAGCGAUGUCUGAGGGUAUAAUAACUCGAUUUGUUAUGCGAUGCAUUAAAUUAUACUAUACAUAAAUUGGAUCGGUGUGGUUCAUGAGAUUAACUUUUACGACUUUGUUGGGCCAUUUUAAGUGUACUGUCAAAGUACUUUUGUAUGCUGAGAUAUCAAUAUUAAUCCGUGAUCAAAAAUGUUGUAACGCAUAUUAUACAAUAUGUAUGACUUUACUUUAGAAUUAAAAUUUCUGGUAAUAAACUUUAAUCUAAAUAUGGGAUAAUUAAAUAAAACAAUGCAACGU